CCUACGGGUGGCAGCAGUGAGGAAUAUUGGUCAAUGGGCGAGAGCCUGAACCAGCCAAGUCGCGUGAAGGAUGAAGGAUCUAUGGUUUGUAAACUUCUUUUAUAUGGGAAUAAAGUGAGGAACGUGUUCCUUUUUGUAUGUACCAUAUGAAUAAGCAUCGGCUAACUCCGUGCCAGCAGCCGCGGUAAUACGGAGGAUGCGAGCGUUAUCCGGAUUUAUUGGGUUUAAAGGGUGCGUAGGCGGGCAUUUAAGCCGGCGGUCAAAUGUCGGGGCUCAACCCCGGCCUGCCGUCGGAACUGGGUGCCUUGAGUGGGCGAGAAGUAUGCGGAAUGCGUGGUGUAGCGGUGAAAUGCAUAGAUAUCACGCAGAACCCCGAUUGCGAAGGCAGCAUACCGGCGCCCUACUGACGCUGAGGCACGAAAGUGCGGGUAUCGAACAGGAUUAGAUACCCCGGUAGUC
Molecule: ribosomal RNA, 459 nt
Filed under: uncultured bacterium
Lineage: Bacteria
Description: partial 16S ribosomal RNA
Rfam family: Bacterial small subunit ribosomal RNA
Source: RNAcentral